AACUGCUAUUUGUAGAACUAAAUAUCAUGCACAAAAAAUUGUGAUGCCAUGUAUACAAGCACACGAUCCCCUAAAAAUGUAUACACACACACAAAGCAUCAACCUCCCUAUAUUCAAACUUCUGUCAUUGAUAUUUCUGAACGUUUUUGGCAUGCUCCCAGGUUUUCAAAUAGAAUACACGGAGACUUCCAUGCACGAACAGCCAGCAUCGGCCGUGGCAACGCCUCUUUCUCCGGCAAAUCGAACUUCACUCCUAUGUACAGAAUACAUGAUUUAAGCCCUGAAAAAACACAAAAGAAUCUUGAAAUAUUUUUGUUCUACCCUGAACACACUCAUCUCAUGUCAAAGUUUUUCCAGUAUUAGAUUAGUAGCAUGACAUACAGACAAAACUUGGCUAUAAAAAUCAGUUAGUACACAAGAUUGCUAUCUGUUUGAACAAGUUCAACAGAGACAAACGAUGUAUUGAGAAGCAAUUAGAGAGAGAGAGGUGUCGUACUGAGAAGCAAUUAGAGAGACAAAGUAGUGCCAAGCACAUGCACAUGCACAUGUGUGGUUCUUGGUGGCAUCCACGAAUCAGUUUUUUAAGCGAGUAACGAAUGGUGCAGCUGUUCUAUUGAGAAGCUCUGGCUGUUUGGUCUGCACGGGAGACAGGUCGCACCAGCGUGGCCGGUCAUACCCGCGGCGAACAGAGCGACGCAAACCUCCUCGCGAUUAGCAUCAGCAGGGCAAUACCUGAACUGCAGGUGGCCGUGUUGGUGAGCGGCUGAGGCGGUCGAAGGAAAAAAAUCACAUCGUUGGAGUUGCCAUCUGCAAGGAAUGACGAAGAUCUCUGCAACAGAAGAAGAACAACUAGAGUAACUAGCAGACGGUCAGAUAAUAAGCCAUGGUCGACCCGGAGCACGGCAACGACAUCUGCCUGGUGGAAUGGGG
Molecule: long non-coding RNA, 930 nt
Filed under: Triticum aestivum (bread wheat)
Lineage: Eukaryota; Viridiplantae; Streptophyta; Magnoliopsida; Poales; Poaceae
Description: long non-coding RNA (TAES_LNC026844)
Source: RNAcentral